This 839-nucleotide ribosomal RNA is filed under the name Verrucaria dolosa. Its description in RNAcentral is "SSU rRNA". It matches the Rfam family "Bacterial small subunit ribosomal RNA", at positions 382 to 1295 of the family's 1533-position model. Lineage: Eukaryota; Fungi; Ascomycota; Eurotiomycetes; Verrucariales; Verrucariaceae. The record is from RNAcentral.
GCCUACGGCUGAUCAGCACUUGGAAGAUUGUAUAAUGAUUAAGUCGUAUAAAAUUCUAGAUAAAAAACUGAUAAUGACAACUAUUUAUCUAUUAGUCUUGACCAAAUUACGUGCCAGCAGUCGCGGCAACACGCAGAAGACAAGUGUUAUUCAUCUUUAUUCGGUUUAAAGGGUACCUAGACGGAAAAUCAAGCCAAGUAGGUACUAAUUUUCUAGAGUUUUAUGGGAGAAAGUCGAACAUCUGGAGUAGAGAUAAAAUAUUGUGAUACCAGAUGGACGGGUAACGGCGUAGGCAACUUUCUAUAUAAAAACUGACGUUGAGGGACGAAGCCCUGGGUAACGAUAAGGAUUAGAUACCCCAGUAGUCCAGGGAGACAAUGAUGAGUGCCAUAGGCUAGAUAAAUUAGUCUAUAAAUGAAAGUGCAAGCAUUCCACCUCAAGACUAAAGCGGCAACGCCCAAAUUGAAAUCAUUAGACCGUUUCUGAAACCAGUAGUGAAGUAUGUCAUUUAAUUCGAUGAUCCGCGAAUAACCUUACCACGUUUUGAAUAUAUUUUGGGGGAUCGCAUAUUCAUCCAUGCUUAACCUUAAAUUAUACAAGCGCUGCACGGCUGUCUUUAGUUAAUGUCGUGAGACUUUGGUUAACUCCUUUAAUUAACGAAAACCCUUGUUUUAUUUGUUUAUAUAAAACAGUUCUCCGCUAUAUUGGAUAAGAUAAUAGGGAUUAAGGCAAGUCAUCAUGGCCUUAAUAACGUGGGCUAUCGAUGUGCCACAUAUGCCUUUACAAAAGGAUGCGAUAUUGUGAAAUGGAGCUAAUCCCCAAAAAAGGACAUAACUAAU